This 71-nucleotide transfer RNA is filed under the name Camelus bactrianus (Bactrian camel). It matches the Rfam family "tRNA". From Rfam's summary of the family: Transfer RNA (tRNA) molecules are approximately 80 nucleotides in length. The record is from Rfam by way of RNAcentral. Lineage: Eukaryota; Metazoa; Chordata; Mammalia; Artiodactyla; Camelidae. RNAcentral also lists the same sequence under 2 other names.
GGAGGUACAGCUCAGGGGUAGAGCAUGUGCUUAGCGUGCGUGAGGCCUGGGUUCAAUUCCCAGCACCUCCG